Molecule: ribosomal RNA, 495 nt
Filed under: uncultured bacterium
Lineage: Bacteria
Description: partial 16S ribosomal RNA
Rfam family: Bacterial small subunit ribosomal RNA
Source: RNAcentral
GACGAACGCUGGCGGCGUGCCUAAUACAUGCAAGUAGAACGCUGAAGGAGGAGCUUGCUUCUCUGGAUGAGUUGCGAACGGGUGAGUAACGCGUAGGUAACCUGCCUGGUAGCGGGGGAUAACUAUUGGAAACGAUAGCUAAUACCGCAUAAGAGUAGAUGUUGCAUGACAUUUGCUUAAAAGGUGCAAUUGCAUCACUACCAGAUGGACCUGCGUUGUAUUAGCUAGUUGGUGGGGUAACGGCUCACCAAGGCGACGAUACAUAGCCGACCUGAGAGGGUGAUCGGCCACACUGGGACUGAGACACGGCCCAGACUCCUACGGGAGGCAGCAGUAGGGAAUCUUCGGCAAUGGACGGAAGUCUGACCGAGCAACGCCGCGUGAGUGAAGAAGGUUGUCGGAUCGUAAAGCUCUGUUGUAAGAGAAGAACGAGUGUGAGAGUGGAAAGUUCACACUGUGACGGUAUCUUACCAGAAAGGUACGGCUAACUACGUG